AACCAAGUCCCUGACCUUUGGAAGUGCCUGGUGCACCCCUGAGCCUGGCACAUGCAUCACUACACAUCUGCUGAAUGAAUGAAUGAGAGAACAAAUGAACUAUCACAGAAUAAGCACUGGGUUUAUCAGAAGACCUGACUUCAAAUCUUAAUGCUACCACAUAGCCACUCAUCACAGCCGGCGCCAGGGAGGCGAACUGGUGCCCAGGGCUCACCUUGUAACGGCACGCACUCUUGAGCAGACACAGGUGCCGAUAGCCCCUCCAGGAUGAAGCUGUGCCACCCGGUAGGAAUUAGAAGAUGAGGUCCCAGAAGUGAGCAUUGGGUGCAGGAUCCAGUUUUCUCAGGCACUGAGAUCCAUGGAGAGAAGUUGAAGCUCACACCGCUGCCUCCCUCCCUGGCCCUGGCGCCUCUCUUUAAUCAAGAAGAGCAGCAGGAAAGGAAGGAAGAUCUCAUCGCUGGAGACCAAGUGCUGUGGUCAUUAAGUGGGCCAAUUCUGGAGCCUGACUGCCUGGGUCUGAAUCCCAGCUCCAGCAUAUACUGACCUUGGGUGAGUUCUAGAAACCUGCCCCUCCUCAGAGUCCCCAUUUAUAAAUUUAUAUGGUGCCUUGACAGGAGUUAUACCAGAUAAACAGAAUCACUAUAUAUAUAUAUAUAUGUAUAUUUAUCUGGG
This 672-nucleotide long non-coding RNA is filed under the name Saimiri boliviensis boliviensis (Bolivian squirrel monkey). RNAcentral describes it as "lncRNA (ENSSBOG00000036445.1)". The record is from RNAcentral. Lineage: Eukaryota; Metazoa; Chordata; Mammalia; Primates; Cebidae.